CUGACCCCAUGCCGAACUCAGCAGUGAAACACCGUAGCGCCGAUGGUAGUGUGGGGCCUCCCCAUGUGAGAGUAGGACACUGCCAGAC
Molecule: ribosomal RNA, 88 nt
Filed under: Xenorhabdus japonica
Lineage: Bacteria; Pseudomonadati; Pseudomonadota; Gammaproteobacteria; Enterobacterales; Morganellaceae
Source: RNAcentral